RNAcentral lists this long non-coding RNA (1641 nucleotides) under Nicotiana benthamiana. Its description in RNAcentral is "long non-coding RNA (NBEN_LNC011316)". The record is from RNAcentral. Lineage: Eukaryota; Viridiplantae; Streptophyta; Magnoliopsida; Solanales; Solanaceae.
CUGAUACAGUUCAUUGUUAAUACAUGCAUAUGUUUAGUACAAAUAUCAAAAAAAUUGUAAGAAAGAAAUAAAUAUAGUUACAAUAGGGAAUUAAAACAAAAGUACUAUCUUCUCAUUAUCAGCUAGAAUCGCGCAUACAUAUAAGCAUUACUUCUCAGCUUUUGAGUGAAGAUGGAUACCUGAAAUUCAGAAAGAAAGGGAACCUAUGAGUAAAUUGAAGCAAUUAGCAAGCAACAACAGUCAAUCGAUCAGUAAACACCCAUAAUUCCAGAAGGCUUUUGAGAAUCAAAAUUUAAGAGGAAUAAAAAUAGCACUAGUGAUUUCUGAAUAAUUGUAUAUGAAACUAAUAUAUAUUUUUUGUAUUCUAAUUCACCACUAAGAUUUUAAAAGGAAAAAAAUUCUGCUCGAAAAUGUCCCCUUCAAAUGUUCAGAUUACCUCUUUUUAUAGUUCAAGCCUUAGGGCAACACUCAUUUUCUUGUUUUCCUUUUAGUCCCUUAUUCAAAUUUCAGUUUUACCUAGUCCUUAGUUUUCUUACUUGUGCCUCAAGUUUGAGCCUCAACUUAUGCCUAAGUCCCUAAUUAGAAUGUUCUAGGGGUUGUUACAAGAUUCUUUCAGGCUCAAAUACCCUCUAUACCGUUGUUUCCCUUCCUAACUAACCUAAGGUUUUUUUACCCUUGGUUUUCAUUUGGUUUGGUCAAACCUGACCCUGGUCAAUUGUGUUUAAGUUAUGGGCCAAAUUUUGGUCUGGAAUACAUGCUUAAUUGACAAGUUUAAUAAUUAGCCAACACAACUAAAGUUUUAAACAAAUAUCCUAAUGUGGACUAUUCAGCAAUAAUUAUUAUUCAAGCCAAAUUUUGGUAUGGACUACAUGCUUAAUUGUCAAGUUUACGAAUUAGCAAUCACAACUAAUGUUUUACACAAAUAUCCUAAUGUGGACUAUUAAGCAACAAUUAUUAUUCAGGAUUAUAUGAAUGUUCAGUGCAUUUUCUGUCAAAGACCAAUGAAUUAAAGUGACCAGAAAAGGAAACACAUCAACUAAUGCUUGACUUACAGAAAUAACCUAAUUCAGAAUACUUGGAAGUGAGAUAUGAGUAACAGAGAUUGGACACCCAAGAUAUAUAGGAAUAAAACAUAGACGUUACAAGCUAAUAUCACUAGUUAAGAGUUCAGAAGAGAAAAUUAGCCUAAUACAUGCAAAUAUAUUAAAUCAAAGUUACUAAAGAACUAUGACAGGUAUGAAACUCUUUAAGAUGAAAACAACUUCUCAGAAUCAUGAUGCAAUACAAGUAGGAUCCACAAGAUAAACAUUUACCAAAACUAAUCAGGAUAUCAGGGGGUGAAACAAAUGAAAAUCAAGAGAUGAGGAUCAACAAAAAAUGUAAAUUUCAGAGAUGAAACUAUGAGCCAUGUAAAGUUUUAGAGGUGAAAACAAACUGACAAGUCAAAAGGCAAAACAUAAUAUCAGACUAUCAUUGAAGAUGCAUUCCAACCAGUAACACCCAAAGAAUCAUUGAGUAUAACAAAAAAAUAUGACUACUUAUCAUACUUUAGGAUGAUAUUGUGGAAAACAAAUAAAAUCUUAAAGGAAACAACGCAAAUAAAAAAACAAUGAUAAGAACACAUAAUACUUAGCUUUUGUU